GUGUUCGCUUUGGCAGCUCAUAUAGUAAAAUUGGGAUGAUACAGUGAAGAUUAGCAUGACCCCUGCCCAAGGAUAACAGGCAAAUUCAUGAAGCAUUCCAUAUUUUU
Small nuclear RNA from Nycticebus coucang (slow loris), 107 nucleotides. NCBI's taxonomy places the organism in Eukaryota, Metazoa, Chordata, Mammalia, Primates, Lorisidae. The record is from RefSeq and is a predicted model, not a curated record.